Molecule: long non-coding RNA, 609 nt
Organism: Gallus gallus (chicken)
Lineage: Eukaryota; Metazoa; Chordata; Aves; Galliformes; Phasianidae
Source: Ensembl
AUUGCAGUCUCCGCCAUCAGAUACCUUUUUCAUUCCUAAUCUCUAUGGCUUGCAGCGUUGGACUUCCCUGGACAGUUGGAAAGGGGUGAGUGAUUCAUUCAUCCUUACCAGAAGGUGAUCUCUGCUGGUCUUGUCUUGUUUCCAACAGGUGGCAGUGGAGUUUUACAUCCCUCCCGAGCGGUGCAAGGACUCUGCUGAGGCUCUUGGGGAACACAGCAGGAACCCACAGCCAGAGAUGGACGCCAGGAUCCGCUCCUUCCUGUGUCUGGCAAGCUCUGUUGACCACUGAGGUCAUUCCCACGCUUGCAGUGGCUGAAAAUGGACGCCUGAUGGUAUCUAUGAUGCCCCAAAUGCAAUCUUGUAAGGUUUGGCCAAGUGUGGUGGGAAAGGAAGAGGAUUGCAGAGACGACCACCGGGUGCCAUUUGCACUUCCUGACCUCCCUGGGUGGUAGCGUUGGAAGUGCCUGGACCCUUGGAAAGGGCUAAGUGAUUCCUUCAUUAUUACCUGAAUGCAGUUUGUGUUCAACAGGUGUCGGUGGAGAACUGCGCCCUUUUGAUGGGCGCAAAGAGUGUAUUGUGACUCUAGGUGGGCAAAACAGGAAUGCAGAG